AUCGUCUGUUCUUGUCUGUGAAGUCAAAGAAGAAGACAAACUCAAGGAAACGAUGGCAGCCUCAAGGUCACAGGUCUGGAGGAAUCAACCUACACACUCCCCUGAGCACAGUCUACAUAAAUCAGCACUCUGAGAGCUGCCGCAAGACCCCGAAAAUAUGAAGGCAUGGUAUCUGUCAUUGUGGAAUGUCCAACUGACCCGAGAAGUCAAGGCCAGCAUCAAAUUACAGCGAACUCACAAUGCCGGGCAUGCAGAAGUGUUCAUAGGGGGAAACUGAGGCACCCAGAAGCAAAGCACCUGGCCCAAGGCCACAGAAAGGAUACGCUCUCCGAAUCACGGGCCUUCUCUGACUUUUAAUUGUAUGCUGGAAAGGUCUCACGCCUGGGGAAAAAGAAGUUUCUAGAAGGAACCACACCUCCAGAAAAGGGAUUGAGGGAGGAAAGCCAGGCCUCUGCUUUCCAUAGCACCUUGCUACAAAUAAUCAGAAUUUUACUUUUCUGUAGUAUUUUCCUUCCUCAUUAAACUUUUUAAAAGCAUGCUGACUUGGGGGAAAUACUGAAGCAUUUUAAUGAUGUAUGAAAUAAAAAAAAUAAUAAAACCUUCUGCCCACCCAGAGAGAAUACAAGUCUGGGAUCGGACUCGGGCUUUCCUUUUUCGCUCUCGCUUGCAGCCGCUCCAUUUCGGUGCCAUGUAGCUCAGCUGCAGCCCGCAACGUUUUUUUAAAGGAAAGAAAAUGAACGUCGAAACUUAGCAGGCUCAGCCAAAAGAGUGGAACCCGGUCUUCACUGCCCUUUUGCAAAUCCCCUUCUCACUUCCAUUUCCCUGAACUUUUCUCAGAGCUCUCAGCCCCACCGCAACAGCUCAGCUGGCUUUUUCUUGUAUUUUGUCUAAUUUUCUCUCGUCUUCCCUUGGGUUUCCGAAUCUUUGCUUGAGCAGGAAAGGUGACUGGUUGGGUAUGAGUGUUGGCACUUUCUAAGUCUCCCUCUCUCCCAUACAGUUCCCGUGCUCGUUAAUUCAAGGACUGAGACACACUGAGAAGACCCAAGUGUUAUCAUGCGACAGAGGUGCACUGGUUCCUUUCGAGCCCAUCAUAAAGGCCUUCGUGGGCUCCUGGGGGCCUCUUUCUGCCCUGUCCUUCCAGGGGAGAGCGGGACGCUUCACCAGUGCCUUUUCUCUUCUUUCAGUGGCACACUGAUGACUGAUGGGGGGCGACUGGGGGGCUGCAGGUGAAAAGGAGUGGAGCGGCUCCCCGCGCCCCACCCCUGCGUGGUGGGAGACCCCCCUGCCCCUGCCCCAGAUCCUGCCUUGAUGCCACACUCCCAGCGUCACCUGGUCUUGCUGUGAAACCACAUCAGCACCACGUGUAGGUCUGUCCGCCAGUGUUUUGCUCUUCUCUGUGGGUUCAUGUGAAAUUUGUCUCAAGGAGCUUUUAAAUCCCUCACAUGGUUUAAAAGACAUAUAUAAACAUUUUUGAAAACAGACAAAGUUAAACUUUAGUUUAGUGAUUAGGGACACCCAUUUGGAUGAUAAAAACUGUAAAGAAAAGCUCAGAAAUGAUUACCAUACAAGCCAGAAUAAUGGUUACUUUUUAGGAUGUGGAAGGGGCUGUGGAAGGAGCUUGAGGAGGGCGUCCAGGGUGACCUGCAAAGUUCUCUUUUUUAACCCAGGUGUAGUUACAAGAGUGUUCACAUUUUAAAUCAUUUAUCACGAAGUUAUACAUUUUUAAGCAGUGUCCUAUACCUCUUCUAUAAGUUACAAUUUUUUUUAAGUUUAAAAAAGAAUGUAGGAUUAUAUGGACCUCCUUAACUAUGUGUGGGGUUAUGGUAGUGCCCCAUGAAAAUUGACGGGGUUUUUUUCCUUUGGUUUUAAUAAAAUUAUUUCUAUUUCCUCUACUUAA
Equus caballus (horse) is the source of this 1897-nucleotide long non-coding RNA. The record is from Ensembl. Lineage: Eukaryota; Metazoa; Chordata; Mammalia; Perissodactyla; Equidae.